Potamilus streckersoni is the source of this 73-nucleotide non-coding RNA. The record is from the annotation of a GenBank genome assembly. Lineage: Eukaryota; Metazoa; Mollusca; Bivalvia; Unionida; Unionidae.
GGGGAUAUAGCUCAGAGGUUAGAGCGUUCGCAUCGCAAGUGAAAGGCUUCGGGUUCGAUUCCCGAUAUCUCCA